GCCCAGUGGCUAAGAUGUCGGCUUGGUAAUUGGAAAGACGCUCCUAUCUUAGUUAGCUAGGGAGGACUUUUGGUGGCUUAUUUUGUUAUCAUUUCUGUUUGUCCGGGUUAUUUCAGGGUUGUAAUCCGGAUAUUAUCUUGUGGCUCAAACUCCUAUUUUUCUCAUUUUGUCUAAGUUCGCUUAGUUGUAGUAACUCGUCUAGUGUUAUUUAGGAUAGUUCCAAGGAUGUAAC
This 232-nucleotide long non-coding RNA is filed under the name Nicotiana benthamiana. Its description in RNAcentral is "long non-coding RNA (NBEN_LNC000926)". Lineage: Eukaryota; Viridiplantae; Streptophyta; Magnoliopsida; Solanales; Solanaceae. The record is from RNAcentral.